Molecule: ribosomal RNA, 1107 nt
Filed under: uncultured Termite group 1 bacterium
Lineage: Bacteria; Pseudomonadati; Elusimicrobiota
Description: bacterial SSU rRNA
Rfam family: Bacterial small subunit ribosomal RNA
Source: RNAcentral
AAUGCGUUUUGAGAUGGUCCUGAGUCCUAUCAGGUAGUUGGCGGGAUAAUAGCCCACCAAGCCUAUGACGGGUAUCCGGCCUGAAAGGGUGAACGGACACACUGGAACUGAGACACGGUCCAGACUCCUACGGGAGGCAGCAGUGGGGAAUUUUGGACAAUGGGCGAAAGCCUGAUCCAGCGACGCCGCGUGGAGGACGAAGGUCUUCGGAUUGUAAACUCCUUUUGCAGGGGAAGAAAAAAAUGACGGUACCCUGUGAAUAAGCCACGGCUAACUACGUGCCAGCAGCCGCGGUAAUACGUAGGUGGCGAGCAUUACUCGGAAUUACUAGGCGUAAAGCGUAUGUAGGCUGUUAAAUAAGUCUUUAGUGAAAUUUCCCGGCUCAACCGGGAAAGGCCUAAGGAUACUGUUUGGCUUGAGUGUGGGAGGGGGAAACGGAAUUCCUGGUGUAGCGGUGAAAUGCGUAGAUAUCAGGAGGAACACCGAUGGCGAAAGCAGUUUCCUGGACCAAUACUGACGCUGAUGUACGAAAGCUAGGGUAGCAAACAGGAUUAGAUACCCUGGUAGUCCUAGCUGUAAACGAUGUUCACUAGAUGUGGGAGGUAUCGACCCCUUCCGCGUCGACGCUAACGCAUUAAGUGAACCGCCUGGGGAGUACGGCCGCAAGGUUGAAACUCAAAGGAAUUGACGGGGGCCCGCACAAGCGGUGGAGUAUGUGGUUUAAUUCGACGCAACGCGAAAAACCUUACCUGGGCUUGAACUGUUAGUGGUAGAAACCGGAAACGGCGACGACCCGCAAGGGAGCUAACAGAGGUGCUGCAUGGCUGUCGUCAGCUCGUGUCGUGAGAUGUUGGGUUAAGUCCCGCAACGAGCGCAACCCUUAUCCCAUGUUACCUAUAGCAAUAUAGGGUCUCUGAGGAAACUGCCAUUGAUAAAAUGGAGGAAGGUGGGGACGACGUCAAGUCAUCAUGGCCUUUAUGUCCAGGGCUACACACGUACUACAAUGGUCGGUACAGAGGGACGCAAGACCGUAAGGUGGAGCAAAUCCCAAAAAGCCGGCCUCAGUUCAGAUUGUGGGCUGCAAUUCGCCCACAUGAAGUAGGAAUC